This 401-nucleotide ribosomal RNA is filed under the name uncultured bacterium. Its description in RNAcentral is "bacterial SSU rRNA". It matches the Rfam family "Bacterial small subunit ribosomal RNA", at positions 356 to 773 of the family's 1533-position model. The record is from RNAcentral.
CGGGAAUAUUGCGCAAUGGAGGAAACUCUGACGCAGUGACGCCGCGUGCAGGAAGAAGGUUUUCGGAUUGUAAACUGCUUUAGACAGGGAAGAUACAAGACAGUACCUGUAGAAUAAGCUCCGGCUAACUACGUGCCAGCAGCCGCGGUAAUACGUAGGGAGCAAGCGUUAUCCGGAUUUAUUGGGUGUAAAGGGUGCGUAGACGGGAAAACAAGUUAGUUGUGAAAUCCCUCGGCUUAACUGAGGAACUGCAACUAAAACUAUUUUUCUUGAGUGCUGGAGAGGAAAGUGGAAUUCCUAGUGUAGCGGUGAAAUGCGUAGAUAUUAGGAGGAACACCAGUGGCGAAGGCGACUUUCUGGACAGUAACUGACGUUGAGGCACGAAAGUGUGGGGAGCAAAC